RNAcentral lists this ribosomal RNA (564 nucleotides) under Listeria monocytogenes. Its description in RNAcentral is "partial 23S ribosomal RNA". It matches the Rfam family "Bacterial large subunit ribosomal RNA", at positions 791 to 1353 of the family's 2925-position model. Lineage: Bacteria; Bacillati; Bacillota; Bacilli; Caryophanales; Listeriaceae. The record is from RNAcentral.
GAAAAGUGCGGGGAUGAGGUGUGGGUAGCGGAGAAAUUCCAAUCGAACUUGGAGAUAGCUGGUUCUCUCCGAAAUAGCUUUAGGGCUAGCCUCGAGGUAAAGAGUCAUGGAGGUAGAGCACUGUUUGGACUAGGGGCCCUUCUCGGGUUACCGAAUUCAGAUAAACUCCGAAUGCCAUGUACUUAUACUCGGGAGUCAGACUGCGAGUGAUAAGAUCCGUAGUCGAAAGGGAAACAGCCCAGACCACCAGUUAAGGUCCCCAAAUAUAUGUUAAGUGGAAAAGGAUGUGGGGUUGCUUAGACAACCAGGAUGUUGGCUUAGAAGCAGCCACCAUUGAAAGAGUGCGUAAUAGCUCACUGGUCGAGUGACCCCGCGCCGAAAAUGUACCGGGGCUAAACAUAUUACCGAAACUGUGGAUGAACCUCUUUAGAGGUUCGUGGUAGGAGAGCGUUCUAAGGGCGGUGAAGUCAGACCGGAAGGACUGGUGGAGCGCUUAGAAGUGAGAAUGCCGGUAUGAGUAGCGAAAGAAGGGUGAGAAUCCCUUCCACCGAAUAUCUAAGGUUU